AAUUUCUGACUGGACAUGCCUAGUCCGACAAGAUUUCUUGUCGUGUGCCGGGUCGUGUUAGUCAUCCUUCUGGAAAUUGGAAUUACGCUUCACUGCGUUGAUUUCAUGAUCCAGAUCUUUUACUUUGAAAAAAUUAGAGUGUUUAAAGCAGGCUUUUGCUAUGAAUACAUUAGCAUGGAAUAAUAAUCUAGGACUUCGGUUCUAUUUUGUUGGUUUCUAUAACUGAAGUAAUGAUUGAUAGGGAUAGUUGGGGGUGCUAGUAUUGGCCGGCCAGAGGUGAAAUUCUUGGAUUCGGUCAAGACUAACUUAUGCGAAAGCAUU
RNAcentral lists this ribosomal RNA (321 nucleotides) under uncultured Clathrulinidae. Its description in RNAcentral is "SSU rRNA". The stretch from base 85 to 321 matches the Rfam family "Eukaryotic small subunit ribosomal RNA", at positions 717 to 955 of the family's 1831-position model. Lineage: Eukaryota; Cercozoa; Clathrulinidae. The record is from RNAcentral.